RNAcentral lists this ribosomal RNA (301 nucleotides) under uncultured bacterium. RNAcentral describes it as "partial 16S ribosomal RNA". It matches the Rfam family "Bacterial small subunit ribosomal RNA", at positions 509 to 807 of the family's 1533-position model. The record is from RNAcentral.
CAGCCGCCGCGGUAAUACAGAGGGUGCAAGCGUUAAUCGGAAUUACUGGGCGUAAAGCGCGCGUAGGUGGUUUGUUAAGUUGGAUGUGAAAUCCCCGGGCUCAACCUGGGAACUGCAUCCAAAACUGGCAAGCUAGAGUAUGGUAGAGGGUGGUGGAAUUUCCUGUGUAGCGGUGAAAUGCGUAGAUAUAGGAAGGAACACCAGUGGCGAAGGCGACCACCUGGACUGAUACUGACACUGAGGUGCGAAAGCGUGGGGAGCAAACAGGAUUAGAUACCCGGGUAGUCCCUGUCUCUUAUAC